Molecule: ribosomal RNA, 249 nt
Filed under: Escherichia coli
Lineage: Bacteria; Pseudomonadati; Pseudomonadota; Gammaproteobacteria; Enterobacterales; Enterobacteriaceae
Description: partial 16S ribosomal RNA
Rfam family: Bacterial small subunit ribosomal RNA
Source: RNAcentral
AAAUUGAAGAGUUUGAUCAUGGCUCAGAUUGAACGCUGGCGGCAGGCCUAACACAUGCAAGUCGAACGGUAACAGGAAGCAGCUUGCUGUUUUGCUGACGAGUGGCGGACGGGUGAGUAAUGUCUGGGAAACUGCCUGAUGGAGGGGGAUAACUACUGGAAACGGUAGCUAAUACCGCAUAACGUCGCAAGACCAAAGAGGGGGACCUUAGGGCCUCUUGCCAUCGGAUGUGCCCAGAUGGGAUUAGCU